This 505-nucleotide ribosomal RNA is filed under the name uncultured low G+C Gram-positive bacterium. RNAcentral describes it as "bacterial SSU rRNA". It matches the Rfam family "Bacterial small subunit ribosomal RNA", at positions 548 to 1049 of the family's 1533-position model. The record is from RNAcentral. Lineage: Bacteria; Bacillati; Bacillota.
GAUUUAUUGGGCGUAAAGCGCGCGCAGGCGGUCUUUUAAGUCUGAUGUGAAAGCCCACGGCUCAACCGUGGAGGGUCAUUGGAAACUGGGGGACUUGAGUGCAGAAGAGGAGAGUGGAAUUCCACGUGUAGCGGUGAAAUGCGUAGAGAUGUGGAGGAACACCAGUGGCGAAGGCGACUCACUGGUCUGUAACUGACGCUGAGGCACGAAAGCGUGGGGAGCGAACAGGAUUAGAUACCCUGGUAGUCCACGCCGUAAACGAUGAGUGCUAAGUGUUAGAGGGUUUCCGCCCUUUAGUGCUGCAGCUAACGCAUUAAGCACUCCGCCUGGGGAGUACGGCCGCAAGGCUGAAACUCAAAGGAAUUGACGGGGGCCCGCACAAGCGGUGGAGCAUGUGGCUUAAUUCGAAGCAACGCGAAGAACCUUACCAGGUCUUGACAUCCUCUGACAAUCCUAGAGAUAGGACUUUCCCCUUCGGGGGACAGAGUGACAGGUGGUGCAUGGU